UUUUCAGGCCUGCACUGGUGGGAUAUAGAAGUUCCCAGGCUAGGGGUGGGAGCUGCAGCAAUGCCGGAUUCGUAAUCCAUUGAGCAAGGCCGGGGAUCGAACUCACAUCCUCAUGGACACUAGUGGAGUUUGUUACCCCUCAGCCAUGAUGGGACCUCCCACAGAGACUUUUAUUUAUUUAUUUACUUAUUUUUGCCUUUUUGUCUUUUCUAGGGCCGCUUCCUGCAGCAUAUGAAGGUUCCCAGAAAAAAGGCAAAAAGACAAAAAAAAAAAAAAAAAGAGAGAGAGAGAGAGAGAGGGAAGAUUUUCCUUUAAAUGCGAGUGCCCUCCCGGAAAGCCGCAGGAAUAUCAGUUCCUGGAGAGCAGGGUUUCUAUCUGCUUGGCUCACUGCUGUCUCCUAAGCCGGGUUCCAGACAGAUAGCAGGCGCUCCAUAAAUAUGUGUUGAGUGAACGAGUGGCAAAUAAAUAUUUCAAAAAUACCUGGAAUAUGGGAAGUGGGGGGAUAAUCUAGGUAUCACACAGCACAGGGGAUUCUGGGGCCAUCAGCAUCUCUCAAGAUGCAGCAAUUUAAUUUCAACAAGCAAAGCUGCCACCAGGUUGAAUGCAUGCUGUUAACUAGUUUUAAAGCCUUUGUAGGUUUGUUUGUGUUGACUUGUAUAUUUAUUUGUUUAUUUUUGGCUGCACCCACAGCAUAUGAAGUUCCCUGGGCCAGGGACUGAAUCUGAGCUGCAGCUGCAGCAAUGCUGGAUCCUUAACCCACCGGGCCACAGAAGGAACUCCUGUAAAUCUAUUUUUAUCUUAUAGUUAUAAUGGACCUAUGAGUGAAAGCUAUUUUCUGUCUUUAUGUAUUUGAGAAACAUUAUAAUAAAAAAAAUAAAUUAGGUCAAUUUUCAUGUCACUUAUAUGUGGAACCUCUAAAAAAUGAUACACAUGAACUUAUUUACAAAACAGAAACAGAUUCACAGACUUCAAAAACAAACUUAUGGUUACCAAAGGGGACAGGUGGCUGGGGUGCAGGGGGGAAGAUGGAUUGGGGGUUUGGGACUGGCAUAUGCACACGAUUGUAUAUGAAAUGAAUGGCCAAAGGGCACCUGCUGUAUAGCACAGGCAACUAAGGCUCCUCAGUACUCUGUGGUAACCUAUGUGGGAAAAGAAGCUGAAAAAGAAUGGCU
This 1172-nucleotide long non-coding RNA is filed under the name Sus scrofa (pig). RNAcentral describes it as "lncRNA (ENSSSCG00060057436.1)". The record is from RNAcentral. Lineage: Eukaryota; Metazoa; Chordata; Mammalia; Artiodactyla; Suidae.